GCGGAUCGCCCACCGUGCCCAUCCCCAGGGUAAGCUGCGGCAGGUGGGCAGGACAGGUAGGAUGACUGGGCUAGCAGGUUCUGAGUCUCUUCUCCCCCAGGGCUGGUGCUGGUCACCGAUGCCAUCCCUGCCUUGGGCCUGGGCAACGGCCGGCACACGCUGGGACAGCAGGAAGUGGAAGUGGAUGGUCUGACGGCCUACGUGGCAGGCACCAAGACGCUGAGUGGCAGCAUAGCCCCAAUGGACGUCUGUGUCCGGCACUUCCUGCAGGCCACAGGCUGCAGCGUGGAGUCGGCCCUGGAGGCUGCAUCCCUGCACCCCGCCCAGUUGCUGGGGCUGGAGAAGAGUAAAGGGACCCUGGACUUUGGUGCUGACGCAGACUUCGUGGUGCUCGACGACUCCCUUCACGUCCAGGCCACCUACAUCUCGGGUGAGCUGGUGUGGCAGGCGGAUGCAGCUAGGCAGUGACAAGGACCUCGGCUGAGAGGACACCUGGCCGCAGCGGGAUGCCAUCAGGGCCGGGUGGUUG
RNAcentral lists this small RNA (529 nucleotides) under Pan troglodytes (chimpanzee). RNAcentral's name for it is "retained intron". Lineage: Eukaryota; Metazoa; Chordata; Mammalia; Primates; Hominidae. The record is from RNAcentral.